GUUAUUCUGUGCAACAGAUGCUCAGACAAUAAUUUCUUACUUAGAAAAGUCAUUGUUGCUUUAGAUACACUGAGAUUGUUCCUCAUUGUUUUACAUGUUGCAGAAGGGAAGCAAGCAUUUAUUACCUGUCAGAGCAAUGGGAAAUGACCCUUAACAUUCUGUCUGGGGAGAAUAAAGUAUUUUCACAAAGCUUUCACUUCAUAAAGCAUGUCUUCCAUAACCGAAAAGGCUUUGGGUCAGAAUUCAACAAAAUAAGAAUGAUAAAAAGUUGAUUAUAAAGCAAAUACAGAAGUUUACGUGAACAAAGCUAAAGUCUUCUUUUAUCCACAGCAGAAAAGUGAAAGGAAAAUCAAAAGUGUUUGUGUACUGUGGUACUCACUUGUGAUUCCAUCCUCAGGCAACCUCAACUCAACCUCUGGUUCUUGUCCUUUCCUCUAUUAUCUAACAGUACCUUUGAGAGGCAAGGGGCUGGGAUUUUAUGCCUACUUAAAAAAGAGGAGCAGAAAUGAAGAGCAGCUUGAAGAAAGUGCAUCUUUUUCACAUUUAUACUUGAAUUGACAGUUCUUAUGUAUAGUAUGUACUUAAGCAACUGAGUCAAAGUAAAAAUCUCAUUAUAACACUCAGGAGCACUCUUUUGUUUAAAAAAAAUUUUGAAGUAUCAGAAUUCAGCAAAUUCAGUUAGAAUCAGUAAAACCAGGCAUUUUAUUUAAGGUAUUAUUAAAACAAGGCAGUAAAUAAUGCUGUCUUCUUCCUAAUGGCAGUCUGAGACAAGAAUUAUACAUGGAAUUAUGCAUUUUAGAUACUGUGUUUCAUAUUAAUGUAUUGGUUUUAUAAUCAAACAAUUUUUUAUGCAAUGAAUGCAUAUAUAUCUUGAAAAACUUUUUGAGUUUGACUCUUUUUAUACAACUACAGACUGGUAAAAUGCAGCAGUGAUACAAGGGGAAGGAUUACUCGUUGCUCUUUUGUUAUUUUUCUAUUACAUUUAAAAAAUAUAACAUAGAUAAAUACCUUUGUC
RNAcentral lists this long non-coding RNA (1015 nucleotides) under Zonotrichia albicollis (white-throated sparrow). RNAcentral's name for it is "lncRNA (ENSZALG00000010074.1)". Lineage: Eukaryota; Metazoa; Chordata; Aves; Passeriformes; Passerellidae. The record is from RNAcentral.